UACGUAGGGUGCGAGCGUUAAUCGGAAUUACUGGGCGUAAAGCGUGCGCAGGUGGUCUUGUAAGCCAGAUGUGAAAGCCCCGGGCUUAACCUGGGAACUGCAUUUGGGACUGCAAGGCUGGAGUACGGCAGAGGGAGGUGGAAUUCCACGUGUAGCAGUGAAAUGCGUAGAGAUGUGGAGGAACACCGAUGGCGAAGGCAGCCUCCUGGGCUAGUACUGACGCUCAUGCACGAAAGCGUGGGGAGCAAACAGG
RNAcentral lists this ribosomal RNA (253 nucleotides) under uncultured bacterium. RNAcentral describes it as "partial 16S ribosomal RNA". It matches the Rfam family "Bacterial small subunit ribosomal RNA", at positions 524 to 776 of the family's 1533-position model. The record is from RNAcentral.